This 1161-nucleotide long non-coding RNA is filed under the name Ananas comosus (pineapple). RNAcentral's name for it is "long non-coding RNA (ACOM_LNC036589)". Lineage: Eukaryota; Viridiplantae; Streptophyta; Magnoliopsida; Poales; Bromeliaceae. The record is from RNAcentral.
CAUAGUCCUCAGUGGGUUUAGCCACCCAAGAGAACAAGCUCAGCCAACAGGUCUAACGAGGCACUGCAACAUGUUAGAUCAACAAUAUACAACAGAUAUAUAUUCAAUUGAAAUACAUGUCCUGCCUCACGAAAUGCAAUAUGCAAUAUCUGGAAUCAUGCAAGUAGGUUACUUUAACACUACUUAUGUUCUUAAUCAUUCUUUACUCUUUGCCAUUUGAUGGUUACUUUUAGCUCUUAGCUAUUCUUUUCUUUAGCUAUUCAUUAUUCUUUAGCCACUCUUUGUUCUUUAGCUAUUCUUUACUCUUAACAUUCUUGAACCAUGCUAUAUCUUAGCCUUUGGCAUUCUACUCUAAGGUCACUUUACCUUAGUCAACAAAGCCACCCGACUCGGUCUUGAGUCAAUCAAUCGCGGAUAGUCCGCGCACCGUCUAGCUCGAGGUGAAGGAACUCUCACAUGCACCUCAGCUGGCAACAGCUCACCGUACUCCUGUCCUAGCCGUCUGGCGGCGAACGAAUCGCACCUCACCCAACAACGGCCUAGGUUCAAUGACUUAGUCACCCGGCGGCGAAAUCGUCGCACACACGCCACGACAGUGGUUCAGUCAACAGGCGGUAGGAUCCACAAACUGGCUAACCAUCCGGCGGCGAAAUCGUCGCACACACGCCACGACAAUGGUUCUCUAGCCCCUGGGCGGCGAGAUCGUCGCACACACCCGACACCACUUUGGGUGUAGCAGCAAGCAGCGGGAUUCCGGAAUCCAUAUCACAUCAACCAAGGGUUGGUCUUAACCCUAUGGAACUGACCUCUCUAGGUCUAAGCAUUUAUCUCCUAGGUCCAAUUGACUCUAGGUUCAACAUCCUUUACACAAUCUAAGUUAUUACUUUAGGUUUAUGGCUUUCACAUUCUUAACCUAGGUUUAUUACACUAGGAUCAUCAUUCUUUUCCAACUUAGGUUCACUUAACUCUAGGUUAAGCAGCUUUCAUUUCACAACCUAUGUUCUUUACAUUAGGUUUAACAUCACUCUUAUUUAACCUAUGUUCUUUACAUUAGGUUUAGCAUCAUUCUUAUUUAACCUACGUUCAAAACUCUAGGUUAAAUGCCACUCGAUCUAUAGGUUUAUUCAUGUCCACCUAUAUAUAUUCCUUACUUAGCAUUCU